GCCGGUGUAGCUCAACUGGUAGAGCAACUGACUUGUAAUCAGUAGGUUGGAGGUUCAAGUCCUCUUGCCGGCA
Molecule: transfer RNA, 73 nt
Filed under: Rossellomorea aquimaris
Lineage: Bacteria; Bacillati; Bacillota; Bacilli; Caryophanales; Bacillaceae
Description: Bacillus aquimaris tRNA-Thr
Rfam family: tRNA
About the family: Transfer RNA (tRNA) molecules are approximately 80 nucleotides in length. Their secondary structure includes four short double-helical elements and three loops (D, anti-codon, and T loops).
Source: RNAcentral